AUCCAGCUGACGAGUCUCAAAUAGGACGAAACGCGUGUACUGGAU
Molecule: non-coding RNA, 45 nt
Filed under: Schistosoma curassoni
Lineage: Eukaryota; Metazoa; Platyhelminthes; Trematoda; Strigeidida; Schistosomatidae
Source: RNAcentral